This is a long non-coding RNA of Cyprinus carpio (common carp), 350 nucleotides long. RefSeq lists it as uncharacterized. The transcript has 3 exons. Lineage: Eukaryota; Metazoa; Chordata; Actinopteri; Cypriniformes; Cyprinidae. The record is from RefSeq and is a predicted model, not a curated record.
GAACAACACAUCACUAACUCACACACACACACACACACACACACACACACACACACACACAGAGUCGAGCUGCACUCACACAUGAAAAGGAACUCCAAAUAUGGUCAUGUAAGGUUACGCAAGCUCGUCACACAUUUACUUUCGUUUUGGAAGGUUUCAAGGCGUUGGCGAUUCAAUGGCGCACAAUACAGAAAGCAAGAGAGACCAAAGUCCAAGUGGUGAUCGUCCCAACAUGAGUGAUCUGAGGAUUGUUCUGGUGGGGAAGAAUGUGUCAGAAAACAACAGAGUGACAAACUUAAUCUUAAAUAAUAAUCUUAAAUAUGCAUUUGGAAAGAAUUGACUCCUAGAUG